GAUGAACGCUGGCGGCGUGCCUAAUACAUGCAAGUCGAGCGAACAGACGAGGAGCUUGCUCCUCUGACGUUAGCGGCGGACGGGUGAGUAACACGUGGAUAACCUACCUAUAAGACUGGGAUAACUUCGGGAAACCGGAGCUAAUACCGGAUAAUAUAUUGAACCGCAUGGUUCAAUAGUGAAAGACGGUUUUGCUGUCACUUAUAGAUGGAUCCGCGCCGCAUUAGCUAGUUGGUAAGGUAACGGCUUACCAAGCCAACGAUGCGUAGCCGACCUGAGAGGGUGAUCGGCCACACUGGAACUGAGACACGGUCCAGACUCCUACGGGAGGCAGCAGUAGGGAAUCUUCCGCAAUGGGCGAAAGCUUGACGGAGCAACGCCGCGUGAGUGAUGAAGGUCUUCGGAUCGUAAAACUCUGUUAUUAGGGAAGAACAAAUGUGUAAGUAACUAUGCACGUCUUGACGGUACCUAAUCAGAAAGCCACGGCUAACUACGUG
RNAcentral lists this ribosomal RNA (497 nucleotides) under uncultured bacterium. RNAcentral's name for it is "partial 16S ribosomal RNA". It matches the Rfam family "Bacterial small subunit ribosomal RNA", at positions 28 to 507 of the family's 1533-position model. The record is from RNAcentral.